CCCUUAGAUGUUCUGGGCGGCCCGCGCACUACAAUGGCGUGUGCAGCGAGUGCCGAAGUAGAGUUUUCCGAGGUAUUCUUGCAAUGCUCGUUUUGAUGGGGAUAGACCCUUGCAACUGUUGGUUUUGAACGAGGAAUUCCUUGUAAGCAUGGUUUAUCAUCCGACGCUGAAUGCGUCCCUGCCCUUUGUACACACCGCCCGUCGCUCCUACCGAUGAGUCGUCCGGUGAAGUUCGUAGACCUCGUGAUCGCGGGUCACUGGGGGAAGCAAAAUGAACCUCGCGGUUUAGAGGAAGGAGAAGUCGUAACA
Molecule: ribosomal RNA, 309 nt
Filed under: uncultured eukaryote
Lineage: Eukaryota
Description: partial 18S ribosomal RNA
Rfam family: Eukaryotic small subunit ribosomal RNA
Source: RNAcentral